Small nuclear RNA from Mustela erminea (ermine), 140 nucleotides. RefSeq annotates it as U4 spliceosomal RNA. Lineage: Eukaryota; Metazoa; Chordata; Mammalia; Carnivora; Mustelidae. The transcript has a single exon. The record is from RefSeq and is a predicted model, not a curated record.
AGGUUUGAACCAGUGGCAGUAUCAUAGCCAAUGAGGUUUAUCCGAGGCGCGAUUAUUGCUAAUUGAACCAGACAGAGUCACAAGGUCAUGGCAAAUUCUUCCCAUCAUCGCGUAAAUUUUCAAACAGAACAUGGGAUUCU